RNAcentral lists this transfer RNA (82 nucleotides) under Rhipicephalus microplus (southern cattle tick). RNAcentral's name for it is "tRNA-Ser". It matches the Rfam family "tRNA". From Rfam's summary of the family: Transfer RNA (tRNA) molecules are approximately 80 nucleotides in length. Their secondary structure includes four short double-helical elements and three loops (D, anti-codon, and T loops). Lineage: Eukaryota; Metazoa; Arthropoda; Arachnida; Ixodida; Ixodidae. The record is from Rfam by way of RNAcentral.
GCAGUCGUGGCCGAGUGGUAAAGGCGGUGGACUCGAAAUACAUUGGGGUCUCCCCGCACGGGUUCGAAUCCUGUCGGCUGCG